AUGACGACACACACACUGAUCUUCUGCUCUCUGCUGCUGCUCCUCAACGAGUGUGGAGGACAGAUCACCGUCACUCAGAGUCCCUCAAUAACAGCAGAACAACCAGGAGGAACUGUGAAUAUCAAAUGUAAAACCAGCAGUGAUGUGUACAGGAGUGGUUCUGUUGAUAUCUUAGCCUGGUACUUACAGAAACCUGGAGAAGCUCCUAAACUCCUGAUUUAUUACACAAACCGCCUCCAGUCAGGAACUCCAUCUAGAUUCAGUGGCAGUGGAUCUAACAGUGAUUUCACUCUGAGCAUCAGUGGAGUCCAGACUGAAGAUGCUGGACAUUAUUACUGUCAGAGUUAUCACAGUGGUGGUGUGUUCACACAGUGA
This is a non-coding RNA of Rhinichthys klamathensis goyatoka, 375 nucleotides long. NCBI's taxonomy places the organism in Eukaryota, Metazoa, Chordata, Actinopteri, Cypriniformes, Leuciscidae. The record is from the annotation of a RefSeq genome assembly.